RNAcentral lists this ribosomal RNA (253 nucleotides) under uncultured bacterium. RNAcentral describes it as "partial 16S ribosomal RNA". It matches the Rfam family "Bacterial small subunit ribosomal RNA", at positions 524 to 776 of the family's 1533-position model. The record is from RNAcentral.
UACGAAGGGGGCUAGCGUUGCUCGGAAUCACUGGGCGUAAAGCGCACGUAGGCGGGUCUUUAAGUCGGGGGUGAAAUCCUGGAGCUCAACUCCAGAACUGCCUUCGAUACUGAGGAUCUCGAGUCCGGGAGAGGUGAGUGGAACUCCGAGUGUAGAGGUGAAAUUCGUAGAUAUUCGCAAGAACACCAGUGGCGAAGGCGGCUCACUGGCCCGGUACUGACGCUGAGGUGCGAAAGCGUGGGGAGCAAACAGG